This 379-nucleotide ribosomal RNA is filed under the name uncultured cyanobacterium. Its description in RNAcentral is "bacterial SSU rRNA". It matches the Rfam family "Bacterial small subunit ribosomal RNA", at positions 376 to 770 of the family's 1533-position model. Lineage: Bacteria; Bacillati; Cyanobacteriota. The record is from RNAcentral.
CGCAAGCCUGACGGAGCCAGACCGCGUGAGGGAAGAAAGUCUUUGGAUCGUAAACCUCUUUUCUCAAGGAAGAAUUAAUGACGGUACUUGAGGAAUCAGCAUCGGCUAACUCCGUGCCAGCAGCCGCGGUAAGACGGAGGAUGCAAGCGUUAUCCGGAAUUAUUGGGCGUAAAGCGUCCGCAGGUGGCGAUUCAAGUCUGCUGUCAAAGCACGGGGCUUAACUCCGUUAAGGCAGUGGAAACUGAAUGGCUAGAGUGCCGUAGGGGUAGAGGGAAUUCCCGGUGUAGCGGUGAAAUGCGUAGAGAUCGGGAAGAACAUCGGUGGCGAAAGCGCUCUACUGGACGGCAACUGACACUCAGGGACGAAAGCUAGGGGAGCG